Sinocyclocheilus rhinocerous is the source of this 3326-nucleotide RNA transcript. It is a transcript of the gene named zinc finger MYND domain-containing protein 12-like, with no coding region annotated. The record is from RefSeq and is a predicted model, not a curated record. Lineage: Eukaryota; Metazoa; Chordata; Actinopteri; Cypriniformes; Cyprinidae. The transcript is spliced from 9 exons.
UAUGUACAUUUUUAUUUUUUUCAUUUAAUUUUUUUAAAACAAUGCACUUACCCAUCUGCUGUAGUGUGUUUCUGGUAUUUAUGGAUUUUUUUUUAUGGCACUAUUUGUAUAGUCUUACUUUAAUUGGUUCUACUUGUAUUUCCAUUUGCAAGUCGCUUUCAUAAAAGCAUCUGAUAAAUGAAUGAAUGUAAACUUAGAAUAUUCAUAAUAUUUGACAACUAUAGCACUAGCAUGCCUGAAAACAGUUCAGUCUUUGAGUUACCUUCAUUGUACAGAUGGAGGACAGAAUUUAUUUAAAUGUUGGCCUAUAUUGUAUAUUUUGAAAAACAAAAUCACUGCUUUGCAUUUUAAUUAGUCGUUUGACUGAAAACUUCAAAGUUACUGACAAAUAACCCUUGUGACAACUAACCUCGGUCUUUCAAAUAUAGUGGUCAAGAGGGGAAAACUUUUUAAAGUGAAGUUUCAUUAUCACGGAAAUAGAUAGGCUACUAUAACUUCACCACUAGGUGGCUAUAAACUUGCAGAUCCCGUUUUACCUGUAUUUCCAGACAAAGUAUGUACAAUACAAUUAUACAAUACAAUAAGUAUAUAAGCAUGUAACAUAUCUAUUGAAAUACAAUAAUAACGCUAUUGUUAAAAACAAAACUAUAAACUGUGUAUAUAAAAAACGAAACAAAUAUAAAACAUAAAAAUCGCAGGUGCAGACAAAUCCUCCUCAGCUGCCCCGAGGUCGUCUCCAUGGGAACCAAUAUGAAAAACACAAACUCAAACACAAAGGAAGAGUUAUUGCGUGAGCCGAUGUGUAAUUGGAAAACUGUUGAAACGGCUUGUGGUCAGAAAGGAAAAUAAAAGUUCUUGUUUUAAUUUAAGCACAUUUUGAAGGCUGAAACAGCUGCGAGAAAAUUUAUCUGGGAUGUCGGCCACAAUUAACCCGCUAGCAAAUCCUAAAGGAGUAAAGAAGCUGUGCGAACUUUGCCAGAAACCUGCAAAACUUCAGUGCACAAAAUGCCUGGUCACAUUUUACUGUAACUCUGACCACCAGCAAACUGACUGGACCAGUAUUCAUGGGAAAGUCUGUCCGUUGCUGGUAUCUAUCCACACACCUGCACCAUUCAGCACACUGCAGUCUGGCCGAGAGCACCACCACAAAGAAACACUGAAGAAACAGAAACAUCUAGUAGAGAUUGCUCAUUUGGAGUCGCAGAGGUGGGUGUCCAAGAAGAGGUUCCAGGAUGUGUUACCGGCCGCUCUCCUAUUCUUGCGCUGGGCCAUGCGGGUGUACGGAUCCUGUGCUGUUGAACUGGUACCAGCUUAUCUACUGCUCGCACAGGCUAAUAUAGGUUUAGGUUCUCUCUCCCAGGCACAUGAGUAUCUGUCUAAGGCUGAGUGGACAGUAAUGAAAACACCAGGCUGCAGUCACACUGUCCUUCAUCAGCUACACAGAACCCUGGGUCGCCUGCACGCUGCCAUGGGAAAAUACACAUCUGCUCUUACUCACUUUGCCAAUGACGUGUAUUAUGCCAGUGAAAUGUUUGGUUUGGGCAGUACUGUGACAUCUGGAGGAUAUUUUCUUAUGGCUGAUGUGUUUCUGAAGCAAAACAAGCCUGACAUUGCCCAUUCGCUCUACACAGAGGUGGCAAAUUCAUGGCACACUCACCUGUGUAAGCUGAUGGAUGGUAUCGGGCAGAGCGGCACUCAACCAGAGAAGUGUUUUGAUGAGGCCCAGUGUGUGGAGGCUGAUCAGAUGUUGAGAUGUAUCUUGGAGUUUGAGGAACAGUGUGUGAAGCCUCGCCCUGACCAGUCAGCCAUGUUGGCACAUUCUCUGGCUAUGCUGUGGUUACUAUGCAACAACUACACCAAGGCAUUGGAGUAUGGGAAGAAGGCGGAGUUGUUGAUCCAGGGGUUAAGUGAGCAAAACAGACUGAGAGAGUCAAUCCAUAAUCUACUACAACAUGCUGAAAAACAGUUGGAAUGAGACUGGCCACUAAACUACACACCGCAAACAAAUCAAAAUGGACAACAAUAUACAGCACAACAACAGUCAAACUGUCUUCACACUGUACAGUGUUCAUAUUCAUUCAUUAAAUCCAUCGAUAUUGGGAGAUAUUGAUGUAUAAUUAAGGUGCAGUCACAUUAGCGAAAUUUCGUGGGCAAAAAAGGUUCAUUGUCUAGUUCAAUAGUGAUGUAUGAAGCACGGCUCGCACUCAUUUUUUUUUUUUGUUUACUUUUAAACCAAGCAGCUUUCUGUUGGUUAACGCAGUGAAUUUGUGAACUCGAACCGGUCGCGUAAUCUGCGUGAGGAAAUAUUUCACCCUCAUGUAAAAUUCCCAAGCGCAUGGAUUCCUAUUGAAAUGACUGGAUUUUACCCAUGAAAAUUCGCUAAACAACAGUAUAUGUGACCACACCUUUAGUGAGGCAGACUACAGCAAAAAUCUUGCAAAAGAUCAGUGGAAAAGGCCUGUCAACUGUGAUGUGAGAUAAAUAGACAAGCUGACACGGUUUCAUGUUCUGGACAUUUUUAAAAUGUCUUUAUUGGUAUUAUUGGUAUUAUUACGUAAUGACACAUAACAUCAAUGUUGGCGUUCUAUCACUAGUAAUUUCUUGUUUUAAGUUAUACAACAUUGCUUGGUUUUUGGCAUUUAGGUUCCCACUAAAAAAAUAAAUUAAAAAACCCAAUGAAAUGAACACAUGGAGUCUCAAAACAUUUCCCUUUUCCAUACCAGAGAGCCAAGUGUUCAUUAGCAGCAACUGUUGCUUUUUAUUUUUUGUUAUGUGAUGCUAAGUUAAUUGCCAACUCACAAGUCAGAAGGGUAUAGCGGUACCUUAUCAAUCAGAUUGAGCACUACUUCAUAUAGACCACUGUUUUCCACUGUGUAAGAUCUGAUGAUGCUAUUUUAGCUCUCAGUUCAGAUGCCUGUUUUUGAACUGCUGUCAUGGAAGUUUGACCCCUCCAUUCUGAAUUUGCAUUUUAUUAAGUUUUGGAGUCACACAGGUUUGAUACUUAACAUAAGGGCAGAAGAAACUUCCUGUUGUAUCCUAUGAAGUGGAGGCAGAGCUUGUAAGUUCGACAACCAUAUAGUGCGUUAUCGCGAAAACACGGAAAAGUGUCAGAGUUUACAGGGACACUUGUUCUUGCGUGGGAAGAGGUGGAAGGUGCAGGUCUCUGGUUGCAUGGAAUGAUGGAACACAUCACACACACAAGACGGCAAAUCACAACGCUUGAGAGGGGGUGGUGAGAAGAGUGUGGUCAACGGCUGUUCAGUCAAACUCACACUAAAACCCUUCGUCACUCCAAGCAAGAUUAAAUCGCAUAUAAACCAGUUUUU